GAUGAACGCUGGCGGCGUGCCUAAUACAUGCCAGUCGAGCGAACAGAUGAGGAGCUUGCUCCUCUGACGUUAGCGGCGGACGGGUGAGUAACACGUGGAUAACCUACCUAUAAGACUGGGAUAACUUCGGGAAACCGGAGCUAAUACCGGAUAAUAUAUGGAACCGCAUGGUUCUAUAGUGAAAGACGGUUUUGCUGUCACUUAUAGAUGGAUCCGCGCCGCAUUAGCUAGUUGGUAAGGUAACGGCUUACCAAGGCGACGAUGCGUAGCCGACCUGAGAGGGUGAUCGGCCACACUGGAACUGAGACACGGUCCAGACUCCUACGGGAGGCAGCAGUAGGGAAUCUUCCGCAAUGGGCGAAAGCCUGACGGAGCAACGCCGCGUGAGUGAUGAAGGUCUUCGGAUCGUAAAACUCUGUUAUUAGGGAAGAACAAAUGUGUAAGUAACUGUGCACGUCUUGACGGUACCUAAUCAGAAAGCCACGGCUAACUACGUG
RNAcentral lists this ribosomal RNA (497 nucleotides) under uncultured bacterium. RNAcentral's name for it is "partial 16S ribosomal RNA". It matches the Rfam family "Bacterial small subunit ribosomal RNA", at positions 28 to 507 of the family's 1533-position model. The record is from RNAcentral.